Molecule: non-coding RNA, 23 nt
Filed under: Cricetulus griseus (Chinese hamster)
Lineage: Eukaryota; Metazoa; Chordata; Mammalia; Rodentia; Cricetidae
Also listed under: 1 other name
Source: RNAcentral
CUCUCACCGCCGCGGCCCGGGUU